Molecule: ribosomal RNA, 763 nt
Filed under: uncultured Streptococcus sp.
Lineage: Bacteria; Bacillati; Bacillota; Bacilli; Lactobacillales; Streptococcaceae
Description: bacterial SSU rRNA
Rfam family: Bacterial small subunit ribosomal RNA
Source: RNAcentral
GACGAACGCUGGCGGCGUGCCUAAUACAUGCAAGUAGAACGCUGAAGGAGGAGCUUGCUCUUCUGGAUGAGUUGCGAACGGGUGAGUAACGCGUAGGUAACCUGCCUGGUAGCGGGGGAUAACUAUUGGAGACGAUAGCUAAUACCGCAUAAGAGUAGAUGUUGCAUGACAUUUGCUUAAAAGGUGCAAUUGCAUCACUACCAGAUGGACCUGCGUUGUAUUAGCUAGUUGGUGGGGUAACGGCUCACCAAGGCGACGAUACAUAGCCGACCUGAGAGGGUGAUCGGCCACACUGGGACUGAGACACGGCCCAGACUCCUACGGGAGGCAGCAGUAGGGAAUCUUCGGCAAUGGACGGAAGUCUGACCGAGCAACGCCGCGUGAGUGAAGAAGGUUUUCGGAUCGUAAAGCUCCGUUGUAAGAGAAGAACGAGUGUGAGAGUGGAAAGUUCACACUGUGACGGUAUCUUACCAGAAAGGGACGGCUAACUACGUGCCAGCAGCCGCGGUAAUACGUAGGUCCCGAGCGUUGUCCGGAUUUAUUGGGCGUAAAGCGAGCGCAGGCGGUUAGAUAAGUCUGAAGUUAAAGGCUGUGGCUUAACCAUAGUACGCUUUGGAAACUGUUUAACUUGAGUGCAAGAGGGGAGAGUGGAAUUCCAUGUGUAGCGGUGAAAUGCGUAGAUAUAUGGAGGAACACCGGUGGCGAAAGCGGCUCUCUGGCUUGUAACUGACGCUGAGGCUCGAAAGCGUGGGGAGCAAACAGG